Molecule: small RNA, 126 nt
Filed under: Marmota monax (woodchuck)
Lineage: Eukaryota; Metazoa; Chordata; Mammalia; Rodentia; Sciuridae
Source: RNAcentral
GAUGGGCAUGGUGGUGCAUUCCUGUAAUCCCAGUGACUCAGGAGGCUGAGGCAGGAGGAUCACAAGUUUCAGACCAGCCUCAGUAGUUUAGUGAGGGCUUAGCAAUUUAGAGAGAUCCUGUCUCCA